ACUCCUACGGGAGGCAGCAGUGGGGAAUCUUGCGCAAUGGGCGAAAGCCUGACGCAGCCAUGCCGCGUGAAUGAUGAAGGUCUUAGGAUUGUAAAAUUCUUUCACCGGGGACGAUAAUGACGGUACCCGGAGAAGAAGCCCCGGCUAACUUCGUGCCAGCAGCCGCGGUAAUACGAAGGGGGCUAGCGUUGCUCGGAAUUACUGGGCGUAAAGGGAGCGUAGGCGGACUGUUUAGUCAGAGGUGAAAGCCCAGGGCUCAACCUUGGAAUUGCCUUUGAUACUGGCAGUCUUGAGUACGGAAGAGGUAUGUGGAACUCCGAGUGUAGAGGUGAAAUUCGUAGAUAUUCGGAAGAACACCAGUGGCGAAGGCGACAUACUGGUCCGUUACUGACGCUGAGGCUCGAAAGCGUGGGAGCAAACAGGAUUAGAUACCCUGGUAGCGACUGA
Molecule: ribosomal RNA, 447 nt
Filed under: uncultured bacterium
Lineage: Bacteria
Description: bacterial SSU rRNA
Rfam family: Bacterial small subunit ribosomal RNA
Source: RNAcentral